UACGUAGGGGGCAAGCGUUGUCCGGAUUUAUUGGGCGUAAAGAGCGUGUAGGCGGCCAGAUAGGUCAGCUGUGAAAACUCGAGGCUCAACCUCGAGAUGUCGGCUGAAACUAUCUGGCUAGAGUCCGGAAGAGGAGAAUGGAAUUCCCGGUGUAGCGGUGAAAUGCGCAGAUAUCGGGAAGAACACCCGUGGCGAAGGCGGUUCUCUGGGACGGUACUGACGCUGAGACGCGAAAGCGUGGGGAGCGAACAGG
This 253-nucleotide ribosomal RNA is filed under the name uncultured bacterium. Its description in RNAcentral is "partial 16S ribosomal RNA". It matches the Rfam family "Bacterial small subunit ribosomal RNA", at positions 524 to 776 of the family's 1533-position model. The record is from RNAcentral.